RNAcentral lists this long non-coding RNA (1630 nucleotides) under Salmo salar (Atlantic salmon). Its description in RNAcentral is "lncRNA (ENSSSAG00000108469.1)". Lineage: Eukaryota; Metazoa; Chordata; Actinopteri; Salmoniformes; Salmonidae. The record is from RNAcentral.
CCCACACCUGGAGGAUCUCCAGCCCAGCACACAGAUCUACGCACAGGCUGUGAGAGGAGCAACUGGUACAGCCCCCACCAAUGAAAUGAGUGACAUUUAGCAUAUGCUGAGUCUACAAUACUCACACGUGAUAGGCCGGGGGUCAUGCCUUAAACAACAGCAGAGGGAGGUACUGGACCAGACAGCCUUAAACAACAGCAGAGGGGGGUACUGGACCAGACAGCCUUAAACAACAACAGAGGGAGGUACUGGACCAGACACCCUUAAACAACAGCAGAGGGAGGUACUGGACCAGACAGCCUUAAACAACAGCAGAGGGAGGUACUGGACCAGACAGCCUUAAACAACAGCAGAGGGAGGUACUGGACCAGACAGCCUUAAACAACAGCAGAGGGAGGUACUGGACCAGACAGCCUUAAACAACAGCAGAGGGAGGUACUGGACCAGACAGCCUUAAACAAUAGCAGAGGGAGGUACUGGACCAGACAGCCUUAAACAAUAGCAGAGGCAAGUACCGGACCAGACAGCCUACACAUUAAACAACAACAAACACAGACAGCCUUAAACAACAGCAGAGGGAGGUACUGGACCAGACAGCCUUAAACAACAGCAGAGGCAGGUACUGGACCAGACAGCCUUAAACAAUAGCAGAGGGAGGUACUGGACCAGACAGCCUUAAACAAUAGCAGAGGCAAGUACCGGACCAGACAGCCUACACAUUAAACAACAACAAACACCAAAGCAUACAAUUUUAUAGAAACACGAAGGUGUUUAUACAGUUGAAAUAUGUAAGCCCAAAUGAAGGUCCAGGAACAAGUUGAACUAGUUGGGUCAUAGACAAGUGGUGCGCGGGUCAGCUGUCAGUUCACCUAUACCUGCUCACAAUUGCUAAUAUCCCAUAUGCACCAUCCUGAUUUUACAUGAUGAAGUGAAAAUAUGAGGCCUGCACCCGACCCUAACCUGCUAAUAUAGAAAAUGUACUGUAUUAGCUACAGUCAGAGACAGCGCAACGUUUUUUGACAGGGGGUACAGGAUUUUUUUUGCCUGAUUUAGAUAUGUUUCUGCUUAUAAUUUCCAACAUAUUGAUAGGAUAUUUGUUAGACAACCUUGAUACAUGCAGCAUCUCUUCUAUAAUUAUGUUGCCCUAGAAUACUAAAUAAACCCUUGCUCACCAGCAUAAUGUCAGAAAUCAACAGAAUGAAUGCUUUAAUCUAGUUGACAUUGGUCCAGUUCUCUGUCAUCUCUGUUUCUUUCAAGGAGCAAAGACAUUUAAGGACCAAGGAGAAAUUGCAAUAACUCUCCCUCCAAAAACAGGAAAGUGCAAAAUGUCCAAAUUACAUCAGUUUGGCCGGUUGUAAGGAAAUAAAAGCUGUGAAAACAACCAAACAUGUUUCUGAUAACAUUUCAGUUUGGCUUGGAUGUAUAUUUCAUGUGGUUGUAGUAAUAUCAGCUUUUAUUAUGCUGGUAAAGACAGCACUGCUACUGACGGUAUCUAACUGUGGAUUCAUUCUCUCAAGAUGCUGAAAUAAUAAAUCAUAUUUCUCCUCUCUGGUUCCCUAGUCAAAAUGUUGUCUGCAUUUGGUGUAUCAUUUUACUGCAGGAUUUAAUAUUAAGGUUAUGUGAGAGGUUC